This is a small nucleolar RNA of Salvia hispanica, 77 nucleotides long. RefSeq annotates it as small nucleolar RNA R12. The record is from RefSeq and is a predicted model, not a curated record. NCBI's taxonomy places the organism in Eukaryota, Viridiplantae, Streptophyta, Magnoliopsida, Lamiales, Lamiaceae.
AAUUGAAUGAUGAAAAUAUCAGACGGAUUCCCAAUGAGAUUUCGAUCUGUGAUCACUACCAGCUACUUCUGACUCUC